AUGAAGCUCGCACGUCAGAUCUUCCUCAAUUAAUCCACCAUUAGCAUGUUUGGGAUCCACUACUGGAUGGUUAACAGCAGCUUUUGUAACUGUACGCCGACCAUACCCAAUUAUGCUCUGCUAAAAAUGAACUCUUUGCAGACCAACCCUAUCGGGCUGUCAGUGUUUUCCGUUUUCCUAUUUUAACGUUUGUGUAUAGUGGCAGGCGACAGAUGGUGUAGAUCAGAUCGAUUUGAUUGCAUUAGACGAUUUUUUCCCUUCCCCACUCCUUUCUGGAAGCUCGCAUCAGCUGAAGGCUAUCGCCUGGGACUCCUCGGAAGCGUGAGCAGCCGCCACCAGGCGAAGGCACUGGGGCAAAGCCAGAGCAAAGCGCCGAGGUCCCUUCCCAGGGCUUGUUAACACUGUAACCCGGCACUCGGAAGGAAGCAGCUCCCACUGCCCAGACCUACCUCACCGCACAGCAGAUGACUCCCUGGCUUCUACACACAGUUGGAGUUCCGCUUGAAACCUGGAUUUAGAGGGUCUCUCUCGCUGCCAUAACACUCAGUCAAAGCACCUAGAGUGGGCUAGCUGAGACGAGAAAGGAUGCAAGAAGAGCAGGCACAGAGGAAGAUGCUGGCAGAUCACCAGAUUGGGAAACAGAGCAGCCAUUUGGAUUUGGGCAGGAAGCAGCCGAGCCCAGCUUUGGAUCCUUCUUUAGGGAAAUCGAGUUAUGGAUUUAUGGUCCCGGUCAAGCUCAGCCCAGCCCCAGCCAGGGGCGGGCUCAGCAGCAAGA
Non-coding RNA from Heterocephalus glaber (naked mole-rat), 775 nucleotides. NCBI's taxonomy places the organism in Eukaryota, Metazoa, Chordata, Mammalia, Rodentia, Bathyergidae. The record is from RefSeq and is a predicted model, not a curated record.